This 491-nucleotide ribosomal RNA is filed under the name uncultured bacterium. RNAcentral's name for it is "bacterial SSU rRNA". It matches the Rfam family "Bacterial small subunit ribosomal RNA", at positions 39 to 518 of the family's 1533-position model. The record is from RNAcentral.
GCGACAGGCUAACACAUGCAAGUCGAGGGGCGAGCGACAAGGAGCAAUCUGAGGUGGCGACCGGCGCACGGGUGAGUAACACGUAUGCAACCUGCCUGUAAGACGGGGAAGUAACCCGUUGAAAGACGGACUAAUACCGCAUAAUACUAAAUUACUGCAUGGUAAUUUAUUUAAACAUUUAUGGCUUACAGAUGGGCAUGCGCAUGAUUAGCUAGUUGGAGAGGUAACGGCUCCCCAAGGCAACGAUCAUUAGGGGUUCUGAGAGGAAGGUCCCCCACACUGGUACUGAGACACGGACCAGACUCCUACGGGAGGCAGCAGUGAGGAAUAUUGGUCAAUGGACGAGAGUCUGAACCAGCCAAGUCGCGUGCAGGAAGAAUGUUCCCUAUGGAUUGUAAACUGUCUUUUGCGAGGGGAAUAAAGUGCAUCACGUGUGAUGUUUUGUAUGUACUCUGCGAAUAAGGAUCGGCUAACUCCGUGCCAGCCGCGGC